Molecule: ribosomal RNA, 458 nt
Filed under: uncultured Pseudomonas sp.
Lineage: Bacteria; Pseudomonadati; Pseudomonadota; Gammaproteobacteria; Pseudomonadales; Pseudomonadaceae
Description: bacterial SSU rRNA
Rfam family: Bacterial small subunit ribosomal RNA
Source: RNAcentral
AUUGAACGCUGGCGGCAGGCCUAACACAUGCAAGUCGAACGCGAAAGUCCUUCGGGAUGAGUAGAGUGGCGGACGGGUGAGUAACGCGUAGGAAUCUGUCCGGUAGUGGGGGAUAACGUUCCGAAAGGAACGCUAAUACCGCAUACGCCCUACGGGGGAAAGGGGGGGAUCUUCGGACCUUCUGCUAUCGGGGGAGCCUGCGUCGGAUUAGCUAGUUGGUAGGGUAAAGGCCUACCAAGGCGACGAUCCGUAGCUGGUCUGAGAGGAUGAUCAGCCACACCGGAACUGAGACACGGUCCGGACUCCUACGGGAGGCAGCAGUGGGGAAUAUUGCGCAAUGGGCGAAAGCCUGACGCAGCCAUGCCGCGUGUGUGAAGAAGGCCUUCGGGUUGUAAAGCACUUUUAGUGGGGAGGAAAGGGCGCUGGCUAAUAUCCAGCGCAGUUGACGCUACCCACAG